Molecule: non-coding RNA, 2930 nt
Organism: Camellia sinensis
Lineage: Eukaryota; Viridiplantae; Streptophyta; Magnoliopsida; Ericales; Theaceae
Source: RefSeq, a predicted model, not a curated record
UCCCUUUUUGCUUUGCAUCUCAUUUCCCCUACUUGUGUCUCUCAAUUUCUGUUUCGAAUCUAUGUUUGUCUAUUUUCACUUCUUCUACUACUGUCUCUAUCUACUCGUUCUGUAACUGCUGUUUGUGUCAAGAAAAUUGAAAAGUGUUCUGGGUUAUUGUUAUUUAUUGUAAAGAUUGAGACCCUCUUGGUUCUUUUCUCUCAUACGGCUCUCAUCGUCUGAAGAACAUUUUAAAGAGGCCCGAUUGGGCAUUCUCCUACUUGAUUGGAGAGCCAACUAUGCUAAAAUCCACUGAAGAUGCUGACCAAGGUUUUUCUCAUUUAAGGAGAGGUUUUCUUGGCUACUGAUGGUGGUCAUUUAGUGUACCUAGAAAUUGGUGAUGGGAUAUCGACAGAAGUGAAACAUGCACAAUUGGAGUAUGACAUAUCAUGCCUUGAUAUAAAUCCCAUUGGUGAAAAUCCCAACUGCUGUCAGCUAGCUGCGGUGGGAAUGUGGACUGAUAUAAGUGUUAGAUAUUUUCUCUACCUGACUUGAAUCUCAUUACGAAGGAAAAUUUGGGGGGAGAGAUUAUACCACGCUUUGUUCUUUUAUGUUCGUUUGAAGGGAUAUCUUAUUUGCUAUGUGCCCUUGGAGAUGGUCAUCACUUUUUAUUGAACAUGAGCACUGGGGAGUUGACAGAUAGGAAAAAGUCGAGAGAGUACACAACAACAACAUGUAGACCAGAACAAUGCUUCCAUGGAAUUGAUCAAUAGUGUGACUGGUACCGAUGAGGAGGGUUGGUCUCGGCAACGGAUUCUUACAUUUGCUGUUAGGAGGUAGUCAUUGAUUUUGAAUUAUGAAUUAUCAGCUUGUUUGGCAUUACUUGUACCUUUGUUUCUUUUCAAAUUUUAUAAUAAGGUGUUGAGUUGUAUGCUUCUAGAGUAUCACACAAAAAUUAUGGCAAAGAAGUAAAUUAUGACAAAAAUACAUGUUUAUAAGCAAAGCCUAUUGAACUCUCUGUACCGUGAUAAAAUAUUUUUUCUACUUUUCAAGUGGUUGAAGGUUCAUAAAAUUCUGAACUCAUCAAAAAUAGUGGAUCUACUGUUAUUGAAGGUGGUAAGCUUUUUACUUUUAACUUUUAAAAUGUAGCUGUUCAGUGUUGAUUUUUGCUUCCAAACAUAAUCUCAAACCUUAACCCGAUUGUUUUUGUUGCACUGGAUGUGUUUCACAGAGCCUCGUCUUCUGUUGAAUUUUUUAAUACGCCUUCAGUCAUUGUCGUUUUCAAGAUUAACGAGUGGGGGAUUGUAGCCCAACUAUCUUUUUGGAAAGAUACAUCGGCAUACCGUUUUCUUUCUUUUCGGCUUUUCUCUGUCGCUUCUUCUUCUUCUUCCUCUUUAUAAUAUGAAACCUUAAUUUGGUAUAUUACUUGGGCUUAAGCUUUUCUGCCAUGUUGGUAACUUGGUAUACCCACUCUCUGUUCAAUUUGUUUGGCCAGUAGGUUACUUGGGAUGUGACAUUAAAAUUCUUCAAACUGGACUUGACAUGUACAGUGGCAGCACUCUUUUCAUUUUGGAGACAAAAAGUUGAAUCUCUUCAAUGGCAAUAUUGAGUAAUAAAUUACUUUUAUUUCAGGCUCUAUGUUCUUAGUGUUUAUACUUACAGCUUCAUGGGCACAUUUACCAUUGAACUCGCUUUGUGUGUAUUAGAAACUAGCAUAUAGUUCGUUUUGAGACGGGAUCUAGCUUUACAUAUAACUCACUCUUGAUUCCAGAUCUGCCAUUUGACUUUACUUUCUUUGUAAUACAACACAUGUGUUUGCUGCAUCAGAUAGGCCAACUGUCAUUUAUAGUAGUAACAAGAAAUUACUCUACAGCAAUUUAAAUUUGAAAGAGGUCAGUCAUAUGUGCCUUUUCAACUCUGCUGCUUUUCCAGACAGGUAAAUUUGGCUCUCUUAAUUUUAAGUUUUUUUCCCGUCAUCAUCGUCAAUUGAAAUGUUGGAACUUGAUUCUUUUGUAUUUUUUCUUAAACACACUUCUUGAAUGGGAAAAGGAGAAAUCUUUAAUUGUUAUUAUAGUCCAUGCUUCUAUAGGUAAUUCUAUGCCACUUCUUGGUAAUUUUAGCUCAUCAGUUUGUUUUGGUCAAAGUCAUCACUCCUACCGUUGAACUCUCUCUCUCCAUUGUUGUGGUUUUCUGUCAUUAAAAGACCUGCACAAGACCAUCUUGGGGUCAGUUUCUCAGCAACAGCAACAAUUGAGAUGCAUGGAGGAACAUGUCUCUUCAUUUCUUGCUAUAAAUAUGACUUAUGAACUGAAAGCUGAUGUCUCUUUCAUGUGUUAAACUUGAAGAGGCUGCUAGAGAAGAGAAGCAGGCAAUGGAAAAAAUUGCGGCAAUAUUAGCAUCUCUUACAGCUAAGAAAACAGCUAUGCACAAAUAUGGUCAAUUACUCUGGGCAGCAGUGGGAAAAGGCAGCCUUAUUAAAUAGUGUAAUUCUGCACAGGUUGAUCAGCAUACUAGUACAACUCCGAAGUUGAAGAUAAUAGCAGCGCCUAGAUUGGCAUCCAUCGAGGAGAUGAGAACACCUGCAGUUGGAGAUCUUAUGGCGAAUUUUACCAGACCAAAUUUGGGCUGUACUAAAAGCAAGAUCCAACAUCAACAAGGGCCGUGUUUCGGAGCAUCACCUAAUAAUAGAACUCCUUUUGCGGAUGCCAAUUUCUCUUAAUGAGCUCCUUGAUAAGAAUAUUUUGACAAAUGGAAAACUUGAGCAGCUUCAUCUGUUGUAUGUUAUUGGAUGAGUCUUAAAUUCAAAAGUGUAUUAGUAUAAAGUUUGCCAAUUCAGAAAGCUGAGGUUGGCUUUAUGUUUAGUCCAAAAUAUAUGUUAUAAACUACUGUGCAUGAGGGAUGUCUUUUGUAAAUCUGUAAAUCUUAUAAAAAUUCUAAAUGAUUUUCAAUUA